This 253-nucleotide ribosomal RNA is filed under the name uncultured bacterium. RNAcentral's name for it is "partial 16S ribosomal RNA". It matches the Rfam family "Bacterial small subunit ribosomal RNA", at positions 524 to 776 of the family's 1533-position model. The record is from RNAcentral.
UACGGGGGGGGCAAGCGUUGUUCGGAAUUACUGGGCGUAAAGGGCGCGUAGGCGGCCGUCUAAGUCAGACGUGAAAUCCCUCGGCUCAACCGGGGAACUGCGUCUGAUACUGGGUGGCUUGAAUCCGGGAGAGGGAUGCGGAAUUCCAGGUGUAGCGGUGAAAUGCGUAGAUAUCUGGAGGAACACCGGUGGCGAAGGCGGCAUCCUGGACCGGCAUUGACGCUGAGGCGCGAAAGCCAGGGGAGCAAACGGG